This 465-nucleotide ribosomal RNA is filed under the name uncultured bacterium. RNAcentral's name for it is "partial 16S ribosomal RNA". It matches the Rfam family "Bacterial small subunit ribosomal RNA", at positions 28 to 506 of the family's 1533-position model. The record is from RNAcentral.
GAUGAACGCUGGCGGCGUGCUUAACACAUGCAAGUCGAACGAUGAAGCCCAGCUUGCUGGGUGGAUUAGUGGCGAACGGGUGAGUAACACGUGAGUAACCUGCCCUUAACUCUGGGAUAAGCCUGGGAAACUGGGUCUAAUACCGGAUAGGAGCGUCCACCGCAUGGUGGGUGUUGGAAAGAUUUAUCGGUUUUGGAUGGACUCGCGGCCUAUCAGCUUGUUGGUGAGGUAAUGGCUCACCAAGGCGACGACGGGUAGCCGGCCUGAGAGGGUGACCGGCCACACUGGGACUGAGACACGGCCCAGACUCCUACGGGAGGCAGCAGUGGGGAAUAUUGCACAAUGGGCGCAAGCCUGAUGCAGCGACGCCGCGUGAGGGAUGACGGCCUUCGGGUGGUAAACCUCUUUCAGUAGGGAAGAAGCGAAAGUGACGGUACCUGCAGAAGAAGCACCGGCUAACUACGU